UACGUAGGGUGCAAGCGUUAAUCGGAGUUACUGGGCGUAAAGCGUGCGUAGGCGGCUAUGUAAGACAGAUGUGAAAUCCCUGGGCUUAACCUAGGAACUGCAUUUGUGACUGCAUUGCUAGAGUGUGGUAGAGGGAGAUGGAAUUCCGCAUGUAGCAGUGAAAUGCGUAGAUAUGCGGAGGAACACCAAUGGCGAAGGCAAUCUCCUGGACCUGCACUGACGCUGAAGAACGAAAGCUAGGGGAGCAAACAGG
RNAcentral lists this ribosomal RNA (253 nucleotides) under uncultured bacterium. RNAcentral describes it as "partial 16S ribosomal RNA". It matches the Rfam family "Bacterial small subunit ribosomal RNA", at positions 524 to 776 of the family's 1533-position model. The record is from RNAcentral.